ACUCCUACGGGAGGCAGCAGUGGGGAAUAUUGCACAAUGGGCGCAAGCCUGAUGCAGCCAUGCCGCGUGUAUGAAGAAGGCCUUCGGGUUGUAAAGUACUUUCAGCGGGGAGGAAGGCAAUACGGUUAAUAACCGUGUUGAUUGACGUUACCCGCAGAAGAAGCACCGGCUAACUCCGUGCCAGCAGCCGCGGUAAUACGGAGGGUGCAAGCGUUAAUCGGAAUUACUGGGCGUAAAGCGCACGCAGGCGGUCUAUCAAGUCGGAUGUGAAAUCCCCGGGCUCAACCUGGGAACUGCAUUCGAAACUGGCAGGCUUGAGUCUUGUAGAGGGGGGUAGAAUUCCAGGUGUAGCGGUGAAAUGCGUAGAGAUCUGGAGGAAUACCGGUGGCGAAGGCGGCCCCCUGGACAAAGACUGACGCUCAGGUGCGAAAGCGUGGGGAGCAAACAGGAUUAGAAACCCCGGUAGUCCC
Molecule: ribosomal RNA, 470 nt
Filed under: uncultured organism
Description: partial 16S ribosomal RNA
Rfam family: Bacterial small subunit ribosomal RNA
Source: RNAcentral